RNAcentral lists this ribosomal RNA (521 nucleotides) under uncultured bacterium. RNAcentral describes it as "partial 16S ribosomal RNA". It matches the Rfam family "Bacterial small subunit ribosomal RNA", at positions 28 to 523 of the family's 1533-position model. The record is from RNAcentral.
GACGAACGCCGGCGGCGUGCCUAAUACAUGCAAGUCGAGCGGGCCUCCGGAGGUGCUCGCACCUCCGGAAGGCCAGCGGCGGACGGGUGAGUAACACGUGGGCAACCUGCCUUUGAGGCCGGGAUAACACCGGGAAACCGGUGCUAAUACCGGAUACGUCCUCUUUCGCGCCUGCGAGAGGGGAGAAAGACGGUCUUUAAGGCCGUCGCUCAAAGAGGGGCCCGCGGCGCAUUAGCUGGUUGGUGGGGUAAGGGCCUACCAAGGCGACGAUGCGUUGCCGACCUGGGCGGGGGACCGGCCACACAGGGACUGGGCCACGGCCCAGACUCCUGCGGGGGGCGGCAGUAGGGAAGCAUCCGAAAUGGGCGAAGGCCUGACGGUGCAACGCCGCGUGAGUGAGGAAGGUUUUCGGAUCGUAAAGCUCUGUUGUGAGGGAAGAACAGCUUCCGGAGGAAAUGCCGGAGGUUUGCCGGUACCUCACCAGAAAGCCCCGGCUAACUACGUGCCAGCAGCCGCCGUAA